UGGCCGUAAACGAUGUGGACUUGGUGUUGGAAUGGCUCCGAGCUGCUCCAGUGCCGAAGGGAAGCUGUUAAGUCCACCGCCUGGGAAGUACGGUCGCAAGACUGAACUUAAGGAUUGGCGGGGGGAGCACCACAACGCGUGGAGCCUGCGGUUUAAUUGGAUUCAACGCCGGACAUCUCACCAGGGGGCGACAGCAGAAUGAUGGCCAGGUUGAUGACUUUGCUUGACUAGCCGAGAGGUGGUGCAUGGCG
RNAcentral lists this ribosomal RNA (251 nucleotides) under uncultured archaeon. RNAcentral's name for it is "partial 16S ribosomal RNA". It matches the Rfam family "Archaeal small subunit ribosomal RNA", at positions 748 to 999 of the family's 1478-position model. The record is from RNAcentral.